UUAAUUUCUUUUAUAAUAUACCCAGAUACACGCCUGGAGCUAGAGCUUUGGGUCCUACGGCGGAGUCGCUUAAGGGCAUAACCCCGCCGAGGCAACGUUUAGGUAGGUUCACAGGGGGUUUGAGCCAGGGGCACUCGGUAAUGAUCCCUCCGCUGGUUCACCAACGGAGA
RNAcentral lists this unclassified non-coding RNA (170 nucleotides) under uncultured fungus. RNAcentral describes it as "sequence contains ITS1". The record is from RNAcentral. Lineage: Eukaryota; Fungi.